GUACUAUCCGGGAGACACACGGCGGGUGCUAACGUCCGUCGUGGAGAGGGAAACAACCCAGACCGCCAGCUAAGGUCCCAAAUUACAGCUAAGUGGGAAACGAUGUGGGAAGGCUUAGACAGCUAGGAUGUUGGCUUAGAAGCAGCCAUCAUUUAAAGAAAGCGUAAUAGCUCACUAGUCGAGUCGGCCUGCGCGGAAGAUGUAACGGGGCUAAGUUGUAAACCGAAGCUGCGGCAAUAUCUUUUAGAUAUUGGGUAGGGGAGCGUUCUGUAAGCCGUUGAAGGUGUGUUGUAAAGCAUGCUGGAGGUAUCAGAAGUGCGAAUGCUGACAUGAGUAACGACAAGGGGGGUGAAAAACCUCCCCGCCGGAAGACCAAGGGUUCCUGUCCAACGUUAAUCGGGGCAGGGUAAGUCGACCCCUAAGGCGAGGCCGAAAGGCGUAGUCGAUGGGAAACGGGUUAAUAUUCCCGUACUUCUUACAAUUGCGAUGGGGGGACGGAGAAGGCUAGGUGGGCCUGGCGACGGUUGUCCAGGUUCAAGUGCGUAGGCUGAGUGUUUAGGUAAAUCCGGAUACUCUUAAGGCUGAGACACGACGUCGAGCUACUACGGUAGUGAAGUCAUUGAUGCCAUGCUUCCAGGAAAAGCCUCUAAGCUUCAGAUUGUAAGGAAUCGUACCCCAAACCGACACAGGUGGUCGGGUAGAGAAUACCAAGGCGCUUGAGAGAACUCGGGUGAAGGAACUAGGCAAAAUGGUACCGUAACUUCGGGAGAAGGUACGCUCUUGAUGGUGAAGUCCCUUGCGGAUGGAGCUGACGAGAGUCGCAGAUACCAGGUGGCUGCAACUGUUUAUUAAAAACACAGCACUGUGCAAAAUCGUAAGAUGACGUAUACGGUGUGACGCCUGCCCGGUGCCGGAA
RNAcentral lists this ribosomal RNA (916 nucleotides) under Vibrio vulnificus. Its description in RNAcentral is "partial 23S ribosomal RNA". It matches the Rfam family "Bacterial large subunit ribosomal RNA", at positions 970 to 1874 of the family's 2925-position model. Lineage: Bacteria; Pseudomonadati; Pseudomonadota; Gammaproteobacteria; Vibrionales; Vibrionaceae. The record is from RNAcentral.